This is a long non-coding RNA of Mus musculus (house mouse), 5077 nucleotides long. RefSeq annotates it as RIKEN cDNA 4932443L11 gene. The record is from RefSeq and is a predicted model, not a curated record. Lineage: Eukaryota; Metazoa; Chordata; Mammalia; Rodentia; Muridae. The transcript is spliced from 4 exons.
GUCUCGAAAAACCAAGGUGGGGGUUGUGUGGGGGAAAAAAAGGUGUGUGUUGAUGUAGAAUGAUGUAUUUAAAGCCUGGCUCUCUGCCAAUGAGUUGUGUGAAUUUUAGGGUAGUCACUGAACUUCUCUGGUCUCUAGAGACUAGGGUCCUUCAAAGGGAAGGUUGUGAACCAAGCAUAUUACAUAUAGCAUAUGACAUGUUUGUCCACCAAUGUAGGCCAUUAUGAUCUAUCCUGGGGCUAGAGCUGUAGGUCUUGCUGAGAGUUGAGGUUCCUGGGGUCUGUUGAGGCAUGUAGAGGAUUGGAGGUGGAGUUGGCAUUUUCCUGUGGUUAGCCACGAUUGCCAGCUGGCCCUUCGCAGCUCCUCCACAAGACUUGAUGACCUCUCACUUUAAGGCAGGAGUCACUCUGGAUCUUCCUGGUAUCAUCACCAUGUUCAAUUUUAUACGGUACUGAGGAUAGAACCCAGAGCCUGGAGCAUUCUGGAGAGCAGAGGUUGAUAUGCAGCAUCUUCUUCAAUUGCUGACAUUAUCAUCUAUUCUGGGUAAGCAUUCUGCCAGUCAAGCUACAGUCCUGGUCUAGCUGAGAAUCCCUGAGUUCAUUUACAUUGCUAGCAUACCUAGGCAGAAGGUGGGCCCUAACACCCGUCAGACACUAAGUGGGUACCAAGGAUCUGACUUCCAGUCCUCACACAUGGCACAUGUCUUAACCACCAAGCUGUUUCCCCAGCCCCCUACAUACAUUUUGUACCAAUGGCUUCUGUCCUUGCUUGCUUCAUUAUGAUUUGAGGACAAAGCAGUAUCUUAAUUUAUGCUCUAAUCCCUUAAUGCACUAUUAAAAUUUGGCAGGUGCUCAAUAAACAUUUGUUGAGUGAAUCAAGACAAAAAUUCCCAUGUGGUUCAAAGAGGUAAUCAGGGUCAGCAGCAACAGUAACCUCAUAAGCCCUUGACAGGAGGUGAUGGGGAAGGGUGCUUUAAUUCUGUGGUGUUUCUCCAUUGAGGUCAUUGUCUUACUCUAUGAGAAGAAUGCCAGAGAGGUCCUGAUGAAGGGGUACUGCAUGAAAUAUCUUGUCUGUGAAGGUCAUCAGAAAAAAGGGCAUUACAAGGAAGUGCCAUAGCCCAUGGGAGCUGGAGGACAUGUAAUAACUAAACAUCAUAGGGGUAAAAAUAGACACUAGAGGUUGGGGAGAUGGAUCAGUGGGUAAAGUCCUUACUGUGUAUAUUUGAGGACCUGGGUUUGAGUCCCCUGAACCCUUAUAUAAAGCUGGAGAAGUAGUGCAUGUCUGUAAUCCCAGCAUUCCAGUGGCAAGACAGGAGGUAGAAAGAGAGAAUCCAUGGGAGCUUUCAGGCUCAGCCAGCCUAACAAGAGACCAUGUCUCAAACAACAUGGACGGUGUGGUCAGAUGCUGCAGGCUGUCUUUUGACUUCCACAUGCACAAAGUGAUAUGCACCUGUAUGCUUAGACACAAAUGUAAUACAGACAUAUACAUACAUUGAUCCAAUAAAAAUGUAUAUUAAAAAAUUAGGGUGUUAAACUGGAGAGUUUGCUCAGCAGUUAAGAACCCUUGCUGCUCUUGCAGAGGACACGAGUUAGGUUCCUAGAACCCAGAUCGGUCACCUCUCAACAGCUUACAACUCCAGCUCUAUGGGACCUGAUGUCCUCUUCUGGCCUCUUUAGUAACCAUAUGAACAUUCUCAUGCACACAAUUUAAACAGACUCACAUACACAUGAAUAAAAAAUAAAAAUCUUUAGGGACUGGAGAGAUGGUUCAGUAGUUAAUAACAUGUACUGCUCUUACAGACAUAUUCACACUUGCACACAAAAUGAAUAAAACUAAAUAAAAUAAAUAAAAAUGUAAUAAGGCCAUCUUUGGUCACAUAAUGAAUCCAAAUCUAUCCUGGGCUAUAAGAGUUUCUAUAUCAAAAAAAACCCUACCCCAUAUUAUAAAAAUAAAUUAUACACAUAAUACAUACAUAUAUAUGUGUGUGUGUGUGUGUGUGUGUGUGUGUGCGCGCGCACAUGCGCUAAUAUACUUUUAUUUGUGGUACUCAUGGUCAAAUCAAGACUUCAUGCUAGACAAGUUAUCUACUACUGAACUACAUCCCCAACCUCACAGAAUAUUGUUCAAAAAAUAUUGUGUACAAGGGUAGUUAGAAAAAUAAAGAGCAGAAUAAAGAAUAUUAGAAAAUAAAGAAGCACCACACUGAUAGGGAGAGGGUCAUUGGUUGGUACCCCAAUUCUGACAUCAGAAGAGGAUUUGAACUUGGUUUCUUCUCUCCACUCUGCCCUACAUUUUACCCAUGAUGCUUCUGCCUUUUCUAUAUUUUUAUUUUAAAAACAUGUAGUUAAAAAUAUACAUUAUGUUUAAUAUAUAACAUGUUAUUAUAUAUGUAUAUGGGCCAGGGAUGUGGCUCAGUUGGCAGCAUGCUUGCUUAGCAUAUAUGAAGCCCUGGGUUCCAUCCCCAACACCAUAUAAAACCAGGCGUGUGGGCUAGAAAGAAGGCUUGGUGGUUAAGAGUACUUGCUGCUUAACCAUGAGGACCUGCAUUCUGAUCCUAGCACCCAUAUAAUAAACCAGAGUGGUGCUGCAGUAACCCCAGUGUUGUAAGGGCCAGAAAUAAGAUUAUUGCUGGACUUGCUAGUUGUUAGUCUAGUCUAAAAUUAUGAGAUCCAAGUUCAGGGAGAGACCCUGCCUCAAAGGAAUAAGUCAGAGAGUGAUAGAGGAAGAUUCCUUUCUCUGGCCUUUGUGAACAUGUACAGGUGUGUGCACUUGCAUAAAUGUCCCCCUUCCACAAAAUCAGACAUAGUGGUUUAUGUCUGUCAUUUCAAUACUCAGGAAUUAGAGACAGGAAGACCAGGGUUCAAGGCCAGUUUCAGCUAUAUAGGGAGAUUGAUGCUAACAUAAGACCCUCUCCUAUCUCAAAAACAACAAAAAGCAGAAAAACAAAAACAAACAAACAAAAAACAAAAACAAACAAACAAAAAAAAAAACCAAUAAAACAAAAACCCAACCAAACCCAACCCAAAAACAAAGUUGGGCAUGGUGAUGCACACCUUUAAUCCCAGCACUCAGGAGGCAGUUCCAGGAGAAUCUCUGAGUUUGAGGCCAGCAUGUGUGGGUCCAUGUUCUACCUGGCAGCUGGGGUAUGGCUGAUGCCAUAGGGUACCAGGCUUUAGCAAAGCACUGAGAUAUGGCUCAGGGGGUGAGAAAAUACAGUCUAAAAUGGGGGAGGCUGAAGCUGGGGUUCCCUGACUCCUGAGCAUCUAGUUGCCACUGGGGUGCUACACAGAAGAGUUGGGAAUGAAGGAUUGGGGUCCAUGGACCCAUGAUGAGGUUGGGACUGGGUGCUCCAAACUUUUGGACAUCCAGGUCCUCUGAGUUUCGAGGAAUUGAGAGCAGAGUCAGGGGCCCACAGGCUGAGGACUAGCCUGGGGCUGGGGGAUAAUGGGAACUUAGGCUUAGCUUGGUGGUGGUUUUCUGGAAGUGCAGAGAGGCCUUCUACAGGAGACUUAGGCUGCAGCUCUGUAGGAGUAGGCUUUAUUGACUCUUCAUUGUGGAAAAUGGAUGCAUAUCAAUUCCUGAGGGUGGACCAGAGAUUAAAUACAUUUUACAGGGAGGAAUGUCUGAGAAGGGAAGCUUACUGGUUAAACCCUCAGGGUCUCUAGGUACCUCAUUAGCAUAGAGAGCUCUGUUCUGGGCUGUGUGACUACUGUGGCAAGUAUGGACAGGUGUUCCAGGACAGGAAUCUGGCAGGGAACAGCCGCCUACUGUCUCAGGUGGGUGCCUGGGAGCCAGGGACUCUGAACCCGCUCAACCUACCAAGUUUCCUGGCAUGGUCCACUGUCCCACAAGCAUGGUCUAGAAUGGCCAGGGCUACACAAAGAAACUGUCUCAAAACCCAAAACAAAACAAAACAAUCCAGCCAGAAAUGAUAGACAUAAAACACUGAGUGCAGCUGGUAAAUCUUAGUGAGCACUUGAUAAUUCACAAUCAUUGUUUUUCAGCACAGUGAACCAGCCAGCCUAUAUGGGCAACUUCUAUGGAGGGCAUGACAUUAUGAAGAGGAAUAAAGACCCCAAAUUCUUUUUGAAAAAUUUGAAUAGAAUUGAAUUGAAAAAUUGAAAAAAGUCACAUUUCAGAUCUCCUCCCUCCUAUGAUUACCACAAACAUAGAUUCAGAUCAGGAUCUGAAGCUUGGAAUGGUGCUACUUGUCCCCAAUGUCCCCAAACUGGUCAGCAGACCAUCAUUGCUGUGGCUGUCCCCAAGUCCUGGGGCAAUAGUAUGGCUGGGUUCUAGGUUCUUUUGUUUGGCAAAGGGUAUAUAGUUCCUGGGGUAACAAGGAAAACACCGAGGAUUGCUUUCUUCUCCCUUGCAUUUUUAGCUAUUUUAAAUUUCUUCUGCUCAUCUUCAUCUUCCUUCUCCUCCUCCUCUUCUUUUUGAGAUAGAAAUCAUAUGUAGCCCUGGCUGGUUUCAAACCUGAUAGGUAAAUGAGGAUGACCUUGAACUCCUGAUCUGCCUGCUCCCAUUUACUGAGUGCUGAGAAGACAGAUAUAGACUACCAAACAGGUUAGUUUUAAAUGUCAGUUUGCUGUAACCUAGAAUCAUCAGGGAGGGUCUCAAUUGCAAAAUUGUCUAAAUCAAGUCAGCCUAUGGGCUUAUCUGUUGGGGACUGUCUUGACUGUUAAAUGACAGAGCCCAUUGUGGAUGACACCAUUCUCUAUGCUAGCUUCUGGAAUGUAUGAGAGAAAAGAAAUCUUUCUGAGCAAAAGUUAAUUAAGCAAGUAGGCAGCAAUGGAUACUCUCUGCUCUUGAUAGUCAUCUAAGUUCCUGCUUCAACUUCCCCAAAAAUGAUGGGCUGUAGCCUGGAAUGGUAAGCCAAUAAGCCCUUCUUCCCUUGAGAUUUUUGAUUGGGAUAUUUUUCAAAAUUUCAUUUUAUUGCCAGGUGGUGGUGGUACAGCCUUUAAUCCCAGUCCUUGGGAGGCAGAAGUAUCUCUAAGUUCAAGACCAGUCUUGUCUACAAAGUUGCAGAAUGGUCAGGGCUACACAGAGAAAUCCUGUCUUAAAAAAAAAAAAAAAA